CCCCUGUGGACAGCUGUGCUAUUUGCCUGCUUUGUUUUUUUCUCUCUCUUACCUCUUAUUUCCCUGUUCUCUCCACCAAUGCAUUCAGAUCCCCGGGAUGGAGUGCGCUGAUACUGCUGCGUUCUUCCUGCACCAACUGUCCGGGCGGCUCAGCAUGUUCUACAGAACAGCAUGCCUUUGGGAAUGCUUGGAGUAUGUAGCCUGACAGCAAGAGAACACUGCGCUCUUCUGGCUAUUUCUCAACAUGUCAGAGGGACAGGAGUGUGCUCAGCCUUGUGUGGUUGCACGUAUGCAAAAAUCCCUAUCGCAGCUGUAAACAUCUUUGUUGUUCUGCUUUACAGCAGUAGUGUGUGACGAGAAGCCUACCACUAUCAAUUUAGAGGAGUGCACGGAAGCUUUUGGGCAUGAUUUAUCCUCACUGUACCUCACACUGGGUGGGAAAAGUUGGCACUGGAUCUCACAUAGCAGCUUGUAACAAAGCUCUUGCGCAAUAAAGAAGCAUUUCAACCGCUGCUUCUUGCAGCAGUACAGUGUUUCCAAAGAGAGAAAAACACCACUACUGGCAUAAACUGGAUUUCUGCUGUUGGUUGAGCAUGUGCAGUGGAAUUGCCAGGUCACAGCCUGAGCCAGUACGUGAGCACAUGAGUGCCUGGAGCUGGGGGAGCCUAGAUCCACCCUUCCUCUUUCUCCGUCCCCGCAGUGCUUCUGGGAGCGCAGUCAGUCCGCAGGGGUCUCCUCAGCCCCCUCCCCGCGCCCCCCCAGGCCCGUCCCCCCCUUCUUCCAGCGAUCCAGAUUUCGAAGCGGAGAAGGCUGUGUUCCUCAGCUCACCCCUUUCUUCCAAACUCUCGCUCGGAGGGGUGAGUUGAUUGCUCUUUCUUUGAUAGCUUGUCCUAUAGUGCCUAGAUCUCAGAGAAAGGCUCUGUCAUUGCCCUUGUUUGCUUUACAGCAUGUCAGAGGUCGGUCAUUGCUAGGAAAGCUUGUGCUUUAAAGCACCAGGUUGUAUAGAGAAGGUAAUUCUAAAAGCGAGCUUGCCAGUUCUUUUUUACCUAAGUGGUUUUUGAGCAAGGAAAGAUUGGAGAUGCUGUUUGCUCAUGGAAGAUGGAGAGGAGGAAAAGCAAGUAAGACGCAUGCUGUGCAUAGCCACUGCAUGCCACCUGCACCAUUUCCCCCCUGAACAAAGGAAGAGCAGCUCAGCGAGCGUGGCCUGGGCCAUCGAAGGGAACAUCCAAACAUCUGGACCAACACCAAAUGGCUUAAUUCCGUAUGUUCGUUGUUUCUCUGUUGUUUGUCUCACAUCCUUCUGGAAAGAAAGCAGGAGGAGACAGACCUCCGAUUUGAUCCUGUUGUGUGUGAUGAUUACGGCCAAGGGGCAGAAGUUGGUGCUUAGGCAGGGGUAAAGCUAGGAAAGCUAAGCCUCGUCGAGGAACGAGAGAUUACAGUAGAGCUCAUUCUACAUGGCUGUUCAGCACGUUGAAGGUAUUUAUCGUGCAGCAGGAUCUGUCUGGCUGCAGGAACAUGGUCGGAUACGUUGAUUCCAGUAGAAACUCAGUAAGCAGCGGCGGUGUGUGCAAAGUGCUGAUUGUAAUGGACUUCUGCCGAGGUGAGUGGGGGCUCAGCGUGUUGCUCAGUGGUAGGUUUGGUCAUUUUCAGUGCUGACAGGAAACGUGCAUGCAAGGAGUGACCAGAAGGGUUGGAGCCAGGGUCCGCCCCUUCUGAGACCCCCUUGAAGGGCUGGCAGUGGAGGGGCAAGGGUAUGUCGCUGGAGAUCCCUGCAUACCUGAAACCUGCUGAAGUUAGGCAGCUUCUUUCCUUUCUUUCUCUGCCCACAGCUUUUGCAUGUGAGCAAAUCCUCACUUGCUGCAGCCUAGGACCUUGCUGUCAUUGCUGCGCUUUCCAUCACGUUGCAGUACCCAAGCAGGAGGCUUACUUCUCUCCUCCUGCACGGGCACAACCACUUCAAAGCAUCUCUUAAGAGAGAGAUUACUUUGUUCAACCAGUACUGGCAGCAAAGUUAUCACUUGCGAUCACUGAGCCAUUUCAGCACAUUUUUUUAAUAGGUAAAAAGUAUCAAGGGAAGAUUUCUGCCUUUACCUGGACGAACCUGUCCACCGUGUUCUGGGUCAGGCCUUCUGACUUCUUCUUGGCUUUGCUUAUCCUACUGAACAAAAUUUAAACAAAUAAAGAAUGAGAAAUAAAAAUAGGUGGAAGUCAGCAAACACUUGUUUCUCCCCUUUCACGCCCACGACAUCAUUCUUCACUUGAGAGUAAAGUUCACAUGGCAGCAGGUUUACUCCCUUACGCAGUGUGAUCCUACAGAGCGAGGUAUGAGUUGGCUCCAUCAGCGCUCAACUCCACAGCACUGUCUACUGGGAAGAUGAGGGCUGCCCCUCCGAAAUGCUGAGACAAGCUUUGGUAACAAGAGCCCAGCAUCGCCGAGUUCAUGACCAAAACUUUUUGCAAAGCAAAUACGACAUUUCCUUCAGAGCUUCAUCUGUAGACCCACGUCACACUUUGACGUUUCCUUCGCUCCUUUAAUAAAUAUUCCCACUACAGACUUCUGACUUACACAGUGCUCCAAAAUCUUGCCUGCGCUGUUGAGCCUAACUCUCGCAUCAGGCUGACCCCAUUCUCAUACACAUAACGGCACCAAAAGCUGGAGCAGGUUAUUCCAGGCACACAAGCGUGACCGGAGAACAAGCUCCAAAGCAUACUGAGACCUUACGUGCUUCCUGCAAGGCUCUGACAGCGCCACUCUCCCCAGUACUGGACACAGACUCCGUAAACUGCAUAGUCCAGAGCCAAGGUGGAAAAAAAUAAAAGCAGGUACUUGCUCCAGCAUCAUACCAUGCUGCCCCCUGGACCCACCAUGGACCAAUUAAAGGUCAACCAGGGGAUCGGGCCCAGUCAGCAUGGGCUGACGAACGGUAGAUCCAGUUUGACAAACCUGAUUCCAUUCUGUGACAAGGUGACCCGCUUAGCGGAUGAAGGUAAGGCUGUCGAUGGGGUCUACCUGGACUUCAGUAAAGCCUUUGACACUGUACCCCACA
Molecule: long non-coding RNA, 3047 nt
Organism: Gallus gallus (chicken)
Lineage: Eukaryota; Metazoa; Chordata; Aves; Galliformes; Phasianidae
Exons: 4
Source: RefSeq, a predicted model, not a curated record